ACCGCUGUUCGGCUAUCUGAGCUAAGAUCAUGUGUAAUAUUCGCCCUUUGUAGUCCAGCUUAUGCAGCAGUACAUAAUUUGUGAUCAAUGAAAUUACCCUCAUUUUUUCAUUUGAGACGGAUGCUGUGAGCUUGCCCAACCCUACCGUCAAGUCAACAUCGCUUUGCAUUAUCUCGAGGAGUAGCCCAUUAUUC
RNAcentral lists this small nuclear RNA (194 nucleotides) under Echinococcus granulosus. Its description in RNAcentral is "U2 spliceosomal RNA". It matches the Rfam family "U2 spliceosomal RNA". Rfam says of the family: U2 is a small nuclear RNA (snRNA) component of the spliceosome (involved in pre-mRNA splicing). Complementary binding between U2 snRNA (in an area lying towards the 5' end but 3' to hairpin I) and the branchpoint sequence (BPS) of the intron results the bulging out of an unpaired adenosine, on the BPS, which initiates a nucleophilic attack at the intronic 5' splice site, thus starting the first of two transesterification reactions that mediate splicing. The record is from Rfam by way of RNAcentral. Lineage: Eukaryota; Metazoa; Platyhelminthes; Cestoda; Cyclophyllidea; Taeniidae.